CUAGGUCUAGCUGCGGCGGUGGGGAGAGAUUGGGAUCGGAAGGACAGUGGCCAUCGCCGCGGGAGGGAGGGAGCGGGAGAGGAGGAGGGGAGGAGUGCCGGCGGAGGUGGGGCGGUGUUUGGGGCCGCUGGGUGGGGCAGAGGCACGGACGGAGCCGUUGGUGGAGGCAGCGCGCAGACUAAGGGUAGGUACAGGCGCGGCCGAGGCAGAGACAGAGGAAAACACCCUCCACUAGGCGUGGAUCGGGGUGCCGCCCCUCCCCACCGCUGCCGGAGCACAUCUAGGGUAGGCCUGGGGCAUCGUCGGUCACAACGGCGGGGGUGGACGAGAGGAGACGAGGCCCUAGGUAGGUAGGUGAUCCCAAGAUGCCGGCUGGCCUCAGGUCCGGUACCGCGCCUUCUACGAGUUCCUGUCCCUCCGCGGGCGGCAGCGCAUGCCGCCGCUCCUCUCGAUGCUGAUGCUGGAGAAGCAGUAGCCGCAGCCGUCGCCACAGCAGGCGCCGAGGGCGUGGCGGCGCCCUAAGCCUCGGUUCCAACGCUAGACGCUCGUGGGCAAGGUGGGAUAGUCGAGCCUAACCGACCCUCCUGUGCCGCCUUGCACGCACUAUGUACCGACAGAAAGCUUCUUCUAUGAUCACGUAGUUUCAAUGUCAGACGUGGUACAACGACCUUUUUCAAAGCCCACGUCCUGCGGUUCUUAAAGCCCACCCUCUAGUUACCCCUGUAGUUGAUGUUGACCUUUUUCAACGACCUUUUGUUCGUGUUCCCAAGGUACCCCUAUGUUGUCGUCGUCCUGCUGGUACUGAGGUAGUUAACGUUCGAGGUCUGAGCUUCCUCCGGGAUACGUUCCGUGGUUCCACGUACCACGAGCGUUCGCUGCUUGCCUCCGAUAAGCUGUAGCCGAUGUGUUUGGUGGUAACUCGAGGUCCAGAUACUUUAAACUUCAAGCUUCGAGUAUCGGGAUGAGUCGUUUCUCGGCACAUCUGACAUUUAUAACAUUAUAACAUUAUCAUCCGUAUAAACCCAACAUUAUGUGAUACAUGUCUAACACCAUCUGAAUCAACAUAAACCAUUUGAUAUAAACAUACUGGAUGAACAUAAACCACUUGAUAUAAACAUGACAAGGCAGA
Molecule: ribosomal RNA, 1129 nt
Filed under: Triticum aestivum (bread wheat)
Lineage: Eukaryota; Viridiplantae; Streptophyta; Magnoliopsida; Poales; Poaceae
Description: partial small subunit ribosomal RNA
Source: RNAcentral